UACAGAGGGGGCAAGCGUUGCUCGGAAUUACUGGGCGUAAAGGGCGCGUAGGCGGAAUGGCAAGUCGGUCGUGAAAUCCUUCGGCUCAACCGAAGAACGUCGAUCGAAACUGCCGUUCUUGAGGAUUGCAGAGGAGACUGGAAUUCCCGGUGUAGCGGUGAAAUGUGUAGAGAUCGGGAGGAACACCGGUGGCGAAGGCGGGUCUCUGGGCAAUUCCUGACGCUGAGGCGCGAAAGCCAGGGGAGCGAACGGG
Molecule: ribosomal RNA, 253 nt
Filed under: uncultured bacterium
Lineage: Bacteria
Description: partial 16S ribosomal RNA
Rfam family: Bacterial small subunit ribosomal RNA
Source: RNAcentral